This is a non-coding RNA of Taeniopygia guttata (zebra finch), 1451 nucleotides long. The record is from RefSeq and is a predicted model, not a curated record. Lineage: Eukaryota; Metazoa; Chordata; Aves; Passeriformes; Estrildidae.
CCAGACCCAGAUUACUGGCAGGAUCUGCAAAGGAGUGACCCCUAGAACUGACUGCACCUGGCAGAAAAGAGAAAACAUAGAGAAAGGUCAGGACAUCUGCAGGUUGAAGUCACAUAAAGCUAAAGCUGGAAAAAUGGACAGAAAAGGCAAGUCCUGCAUACCCAUGUCAGAGUCACCUCCACCAGAUGAGUUCAGCUUUCGAAAUAUCUCCUGUUUCUUGGAUUUUACCAUUGGUGAAGUGUUCUCAAGUUUGGUGAAAAACGAAGGCAGGUAACUGAUACUGCCUGGAGAGCGAGAGUCAGUCCUGCCAAGACCAACACGUGUCAAAGAGACAGAACUUGUAAGAUGCACAUUGAAAUCUUCCCAAAAGCAGUCAGGCAGAAACCACUAACAGUCAUAGAAGCACUGGGGGGCUCAAUAAUAACUUGAGUUUGCCUAAGCAGCAGCAAUCCAACAAAUAAGCUUGAAUUAAAAAAAACAAACAAGUUGCACCUAAAUUAAAAAAUAAUCUAAAAAUGAAGUAAAAAAUAAUCUAGCUUUCCUAGCCCAAGAUCCUUACAUUUCUAAAAAGUGCAAUAUCCCCUGCCAUGUUCCUGAAAAUCCCUUUGCAUCUACUUAACAUCCAUCAUGGACUCUAAUAGUCCUACAGCAACUGCAGAGUGGAAAACCCCAAGAAAAUUAGAAUCAGUUUCACCAGCCUGAAGCUUAAAUAAGUACUUUGGGUGCUCUUCCUUCCUCAGCAGGGCAAACACAGGUACACCUACUCCAGUGUGCAUCUCCCACAUGUUUGCAGACACCAGCACUGCCAGGGAGCCCGUGAAGGUCCUGUGCAGUUUUAUGGUGCAGAUCUGACAGACUGGGACAUCCAUGGACACCCCACUUCACUCCUCCUGGAACCUCUUUAGCUUAGUGAUUUUUCAAGUGAUUAUCUGCUCCAGCACCAUGAGUACUGGAAGCCUGGGUUCCUCCCCUCUCCACCAGGACAGUAUCCAGGAAUCCAACCAGACAGGAGAAGACUGAAUGAUUUAAUGAAAAUUUGUAACCUUUCUCAAAACUCACUUCAGUUUUACAGAACUGGUAACCACAAGGAAUUUAACAUUCUGUCAGAUGUGACACAGAACACUCUGCUUGCACCAAGAAACUUAAGACAGAGCACCAACAUGUGACCUUUCCCUCAGCCUUCCCAAAGCAACUUCCAAAUAGCAAGUUUUGGAUGUUAGUGCAGAAGGAUUGACAGUGAUUAACAACUUGCCUGUGGCACCAGAGAAAGGUCGGUUGAGCUGCUCUUUAAUAAAGACACAGUUUGCAGCACAAAGAUUCAGAAUUAUGUUUUUAAAAGUCAAUUUUACACCUACCUCUGUUCAGUAGGCUCAGCUCUUUGGGAAAGCAAAAGAACAUUUUCCUGUUUCUCAUGUACAACUGGGACCUGAGGUGGCGAGAUUGGCUCGUAG